Long non-coding RNA from Rosa chinensis, 604 nucleotides. RefSeq lists it as uncharacterized. The transcript has 3 exons. NCBI's taxonomy places the organism in Eukaryota, Viridiplantae, Streptophyta, Magnoliopsida, Rosales, Rosaceae. The record is from RefSeq and is a predicted model, not a curated record.
AUCAAGGAUUUCCUCCUGACUGCAAGAAGGAAGGAUGCCCGUUCUGUGAAAAUCAAGAAGACGAAGGACGCAGUCAAGUUCAAGGUUCGAUGCAACCUUUUCUUUAUUACUAUUAAGGAAGCUUUUGCAACUCGUAUUUCUGGAUCUGCUGACCUUUACAAAUGCAUGGGAAUUUGCCUUCUCAAAGCCAGUUAGCGGAUUAGGAAUUCGUUGUUACUCAGCAUUCAGCUGUACCAAAGGGGAUUUUGUCAUUAUAGCGAUUUCACUGCUGCUGACUUUGUGGACCAUCCACCUCCACUUUCAGUUCUGGAGACUGUAGCUACUGUAUAAUGGUUGCAUUAUAGUUAAUACAGAGAGGAAUUCUUCAUUUUAAGAUCUUGUCAGUAUAUAUUCAAUGACAGAAUCUGAAGAAAGAGACAAGAUGAAAGGCAUGUAGCAAAUCAACUGCGCGCCAGUCAAAGAACAAACCACCGGUCAUUUUGGAAUGAUAUUGCCACUCCAUUUUUGCUUCUUGCAGAAACUAAUCCCCUAUAGUCAAAGCCUCAAAGGCUAAUCAAGUGCUUCACAUUCCCUGGAAAUAUCAAAACAGAUCCCACAAUAGCAU